GUUAACACUGAGAGGCCUCCCGCUGUUCCUGCACCCGCCUCAGAUGUGGUCACUCUUGAAUAUGAAUGCCCAGGGACAACAACCACUCAUGACAGUAUCGACGAGGCAAUUUCCUCAGGAGUGCUGCCUUGUGAUACCUAUGAUUACGAUACUGCAACGUUUGGGGUGCUGUCCGGGACAAUGACUGUCGAGGAACAACUAAGCAUGUUCACGGAAACUAACAACAAUGAGGCCCCAAGAUUUGUGUCUUGUGAAGAUCGUGUGGAAGGUAAAUGUAACAAGGACAACUUUUUUGUUAUAGAUUUGCUCUAUUCACAUAAUUUGGCAUCACCCAAAGUACUGUCCAUCUUGUUAUCCCUAUAAGCCCUAAGUGCCAGUAUGUGCAUGAAACAGAGGACAAAGGAAGAGUUUCGUUAACAAUUCCAAACUCACAUAUAGCUCAAGGUAUUUUUAACAUUCUUCCACAUGACAUGUUACCGGUGCAUUACUUAACAUUGUCUAAUAACAGUAAAAUAUUAUGAAUUUUGCAUACCUUUGGUGAACAUCUCUCUUAAACAUCAUUACUGCACCCAAAACUAUAGAUCUCAAUCUUGACUUUUGUUUAUUUCCAAAGCAAGGGAGUGUAGGCGAUUG
Molecule: long non-coding RNA, 633 nt
Organism: Eriocheir sinensis (Chinese mitten crab)
Lineage: Eukaryota; Metazoa; Arthropoda; Malacostraca; Decapoda; Varunidae
Exons: 3
Source: RefSeq, a predicted model, not a curated record